UGGGGGAUAUUGCGCAAUGGGGGCAACCCUGACGCAGCAACGCCGCGUGAAGGAUGAAGGUUUUCGGAUUGUAAACUUCUUUUAUUAAGGACGGAACUUGACGGUACUUAAUGAAUAAGCUCCGGCUAACUACGUGCCAGCAGCCGCGGUAAUACGUAGGGAGCAAGCGUUGUCCGGAUUUACUGGGUGUAAAGGGUGCGUAGGCGGCUUUGCAAGUCAGAUGUGAAAUCUAUGGGCUCAACCCAUAAACUGCAUUUGAAACUGUAGAGCUUGAGUGAAGUAGAGGCAGGCGGAAUUCCCCGUGUAGCGGUGAAAUGCGUAGAGAUGGGGAGGAACACCAGUGGCGAAGGCGGCCUGCUGGGCUUUAACUGACGCUGAGGCACGAAAGCGUGGGUAGCAAACAGGAUUAGAUACCCUGGUAGUCCACGCUGUAAACGAUGAUUACUAGGUGUGGGGGGUCUGACCCCUUCCGUGCCGGAGUUAACACAAUAAGUAAUCCACCUGGGGAGUACGGCCGCAAGGUUGAAACUCAAAGGAAUUGACGGGGGCCCGCACAAGCAGUGGAGUAUGUGGUUUAAUUCGAAGCAACGCGAAGAACCUUACCAGGUCUUGACAUCCAACUAACGAAGUAGAGAUACAUUAGGUGCCCUUCGGGGAAAGUUGAGACAGGUGGUGCAUGGUUGUCGUCAGCUCGUGUCGUGAGAUGUUGGGUUAAGUCCCGCAACGAGCGCAACCCUUGCUAUUAGUUGCUACGCAAGAGCACUCUAAUAGGACUGCCGUUGACAAAACGGAGGAAGGUGGGGACGACGUCAAAUCAUCAUGCCCCUUAUGACCUGGGCUACACACGUACUACAAUGGAUGUUAACAGAGGGAAGCAAGACAGCGAUGUGGAGCAAACCCCUAAAAACAUUCUCAGUUCAGAUUGCAGGCUGCAACCCGCCUGCAUGAAGAUGGAAUUGCUAGUAAUCGCGGAUCAGCAUGCCGCGGUGAAUACGUUCCC
Molecule: ribosomal RNA, 1000 nt
Filed under: uncultured organism
Description: bacterial SSU rRNA
Rfam family: Bacterial small subunit ribosomal RNA
Source: RNAcentral